This 65-nucleotide transfer RNA is filed under the name Sthenoteuthis oualaniensis. RNAcentral's name for it is "tRNA-Tyr". The record is from RNAcentral. Lineage: Eukaryota; Metazoa; Mollusca; Cephalopoda; Oegopsida; Ommastrephidae.
UACGGGAUGGUCGAUAAAGUCGGUAGAUUGUAAAUCUAUGAAUGAGUGUGUAUACUCUUCCGUAA